UGAGCCAAAGGCAGACGCUUAACGACUGAGCCACCCAGGCGCCCCGCUAUAAUGAACUUCUGAAUGCCGUUGGUGAUGUUUUGUUAGCAAGCGACCAUGCUGUGCACAGCCUUAUGGAGUGGUCCAUGAACUGGAGCCUCCAGCUACCAGCCAGCAAGAAACUGAGGCCAGCCAACAGCUGUAUGAGCAAGCUGGAAACAUCCUCCCGUCCUCACUGAGCCUUCAUGAGACUACAGAUACAGGGCUGGAGGCUGCUGCUUACCAAGCUGUAAAUUGCCACCAAGAUUGUGUCAAGCAGAGGCACCUGGGUGGGUCAG
Leptonychotes weddellii (Weddell seal) is the source of this 317-nucleotide long non-coding RNA. RefSeq lists it as uncharacterized. Lineage: Eukaryota; Metazoa; Chordata; Mammalia; Carnivora; Phocidae. The record is from RefSeq and is a predicted model, not a curated record.